GAAGCAUCAGGGUGGCAGGGCUGUGUGUGCCCAAAUCAAUUUAUGUAAUACAUACAAAAAAUAUAAAGUGCAGAAUAAGAUGACAAAUCAAGAUUCAUGCUUAAUAGAAAAAAUACGAACAUAUUUUCCAUCGUGCCUCUACACGCCUGUGGAGCCCCACUAGACGGAGACACCAUGGGAGGCAAGCUGAGCAAGAGGAAGAAGGGGUACGAUGUCAGCGACCCAAAGGACAAGAAGGAGGAGAUUACUGUGGCUGCUGUGAGUGCCGUUGAGGCCGUGGCCCAUGCCGUGGAGAGCAAAGCACCAGCUCCGGUCGCUGAGUUGGCAGCGAAGACUGCUCCUAAGGUGUCUGCUGAAGUGGAGGGAGCAGUGGAGUCGGCAGCGGUAGCCAUCACAGAAGCGACAGAAGAGGCCCUGUCAGCUAUAGAGGCAGUGGCCAAGGGGGCCACCGCAGAGCCAGCGGCUGUACCAGAUGAACCCGUGGCAGCACCUGGAGAACCAGCGCCAGCAGCAAAGGAACCAGUGGCUUCAGAAGAACCAGCUGCAGCACCAGAGGACCCAGCGUCAGCUGCAGCACCAGAAGAACCUGCAGCCCCAGAAAAGCCAGCGGUGGCACCGGAAGAACCUGCGCCAGCAGCAGAAGAACCAGUGGCUUCAGGAGAACCAGCUGCAGCACCAGAGGACCCAGCGCCAGCUGCAGCACCAGAAGAACCUUCAGCCUCAGAAGAGCCAGUGGCAGCACCGGAAGAACCUGCAGCAGUAGCAGAGGAACCAGCCGCAGCUCCAGAAGAGCUUGCAGCUCCAGAAGAGCCCGUGGCAGCACCGGAAGAACCUGCAGCAGCUGAGGAACCAGCAGCAUCACCAGAGGAACCUGCGGCAGCACCAGAGGAACCUGCGGCAGCACCAGAUAAAACAAAGGCACCGGAAGAACCAGCGGCACUAGAGGAACCAGCGGCUGCACCAAAAGAGCCUGCAGUGGAAGAGCCUGUACCAGAAGAGUCUGCAACAGCACCAAAAGAACCUGCACCAAAAGAGCCCGCAGUGGAAAAGCCUCCACCAGAAGAGCCUGCGGCAGCACCAAAAGAGCCUGCACCAGAAGAGCCUGAGGCAGCACCAAAAGAGCCUGCACCAGAAGAGCCUGAGGUAGCCUCUGUGGAGCUAGCUGCAGUACCAGAAAAGGCUUCUGAGGCUACAGAACAAGCCACAGAGGUGACAGCAGAGAUUACAGACACUACAGAACCAGAGCCUGCUGCUCCAGAGCCUGAAACAGAGACUGUUACAGGGAAGGCCCCAGAACCUGAGGCUGUGGUCGAGGCACCAGUAGAGGCAGAAGCAGCUUCAUCCGCCCCGGAGGAGGAGCCUGCAUCAGUUGCAGAAGCCGUGUCAGAGUCAGCCACAGAGGCAGCCGCAGAGCCAGAGGCAGAAUCCAUCCCACAACCAGCCGCUGAAGAGCUCCCCCUACCUAUAGAAGAAUCCGUAGCAGAGCUUGAAUCUGAAGCUGCUGAUGCAGUAACUGAAGCAGCAGAGCCUGAGGCUGCCGACAUUGCAGAACCCAUCCCGGAGAUCAUCAUUUCAGAAUCUGCUGCACCUGCGGCUGCAGAGGAGGCCAGCGCUGAGCAAGAGGAGGCUGUGCUGGACAACAAGGAAGUUGUUUCCGCAGUGGAGGCUACUGCUGAGCCUUCUGCCCCUGAGGUCAAUGGGGAGUGUCAGGAGCAGGCAGCCGAGCCGGCUGCCGUGUCUGCCCCGGAGCCACAGCAAAAGGAAUGUGUCAACGGCAUUGACAAGCCAGAGGAUGCCGUUGAAGUGCAAAGUGACUGCGAAUUAAAAAAGAACUUGAACCUGACUGGCGACAUCCAGAUUCCUGAGGCAAUCGGUGAGGCAAUAAGUCAGGCUGUAGACUUGGUCUGAAGCUAAUAUAAAUGUGAAGUCCCUAAUGAUCCGAAAAAAAACCUCCAACACAGGCUUCUGAAGAUAAAUAUAAAAAUGCCUGUUGUGGCAAAGGAGUUUCCGAUUAACCAAAAGGAAAUACAACCACUCAAGUGUAGAGAGGGGGAGUGAGAUACAUGUAGGAAGAGAUGUGAGACAUGGAUGCAGUGUGCCCCACUGAGUCUUUGUGCCCCAUAUGUCAUUGCAGAAGGGCAGCCUGUGUUUGCAGUAUUUGUGGUGAGAUGAAAGCCAGCGAAAUUUGAGGGAUGAGUAUAGGAAAACCGGAAACAAAACUGGACAACAGAGCAAAAAAUGUGACAUUGGAAAUGUUGAAUGGAAUGAAUAGUCUUGUCUUUGUGUGGGAGGCUGAUGAAUAUUAAAAAUGUUUUUUUGUAAUAGCAUUCAAUAAUGAUCUAAUUUAGACUUUCACAUAUCCUUUCCUUAACUAUACGAAAAAAUAAUGGAUGAAAAGUUUUGGCCUUUUAUAGUGGUGCAAACAGUGAGGAAUGUUCAUUAAUGGCUUGGAAUAGAC
Molecule: long non-coding RNA, 2458 nt
Filed under: Salmo salar (Atlantic salmon)
Lineage: Eukaryota; Metazoa; Chordata; Actinopteri; Salmoniformes; Salmonidae
Description: lncRNA (ENSSSAG00000112583.1)
Source: RNAcentral